This 53-nucleotide small RNA is filed under the name Arabidopsis thaliana (thale cress). Its description in RNAcentral is "ATSL112890". Lineage: Eukaryota; Viridiplantae; Streptophyta; Magnoliopsida; Brassicales; Brassicaceae. The record is from RNAcentral.
CUUUCUCUUCUUCUUCUUCUUCAACUUCAUCUUCUUCAUCUUCUUCAUCUUUC